Long non-coding RNA from Bufo bufo (common toad), 280 nucleotides. RefSeq lists it as uncharacterized. The transcript has 4 exons. The record is from RefSeq and is a predicted model, not a curated record. NCBI's taxonomy places the organism in Eukaryota, Metazoa, Chordata, Amphibia, Anura, Bufonidae.
CAAUAAACCCCCAUAUGAACACUUUAGGGCAGGGGUGGCCAACCUGUGGCUCUUGAGCCACAUGCGGCUCUUUGCUUCUUUAAGUGAGGCUCUAGCUGUUAAGCCAGGAAGCAGUCAGGCUGGCUCACUCUCCAACCCAUGCUCAUAUCUGUUUUCCUGAUCGGGCAUUGUUACUACUUUGCAGCUCCAGCUCACUCUCCACUACAUCCUGAUGCACACAGUGUGAGAACGUAGUAUGUGGAGACACGCACUAUGACCUGACGUUGUGCUCAUCAGUUCA